UUCUCGGGAUCGGCGCGAAACAACUGUACGGAUCUCUCAACAAAAUCAUCCCAGGAAGUGAUAUACACCAUUCUUCUUCUCUCUGUAUCUGCUAUAUAUAAAUAUAUGUAUAUAUAACUGCUAAUCGAGCGUUCUCUCGGUGACUGUUGACGCCGGAGCUAAAUUCAGUGGCCGGCCGGCGAGGUUUUCAAUUUUUGCUCCUUAGGGGGUUUGAAAAGUCUUUUAUUGGUAUGUUUUGAGUCGCUUGAGCAAAAGGGGAAUAUUAAUGGGCCUGCAAAUAACGGGUCCCGACCCGGAUUGGCCCAUGUAAUUGUCACCUGAGCACGAGGUAUAAGUUUAUAUUUUUGCAUCAUAAUAUUAUCAAAGUUAUAACGAGUUAUACAUAAGUUCGAUUGCUAAUGAUAAUAACUAAAGAUCAAACUAUUCGAACGAUAAAUCAUAUUAGUAAAAUCUCGUGAUGAUGAAUAAUUAGAUUGCAAUAUGUAUAAAAUUAUAAUCUUUUUUGUUAAUAAAUCGUCGAUAAAAAUUUAUGUAUUCAACAACCCCUUAAUUGAGAAAGGAUACAUCAGUACAAACAAUUAUUUUAUUUUAUUUUUUGGUCAUAACGGAAGUACAAAUAAUAAUUUGCAAGUUACAUAAGUUGCCAUACUUAAAAAUAAAAGUUUUAUAAAUUUAAUCCCACAAUAAUAAAACCAUAUAGUACUGUACAAAAAUUACAGACCGCUAGUCUCUCUUCAUAAUUUCUCCAUAGGUCUUGUAUCUUUAGGAACCUAUGGUAUUGUUUUUUUCGAUGAUCGAGAAAUCUAUCUGGAACCAACCCUUUGGGAAAAACGCAACCUUCAGAACUCGGGAAUGAUGGAUAACUCCAUAGCGCGAAAUUAACAAGGACUAACUUGUAGAUACAAAGCAACUUCAUCCAAUUAUGUUGCAAAAGAAUUCACUAUUGACACAAUUUACUAACCAUUGAAUACACGAGGUGACAUAUCGAUAGCUCAGCUGCAUUUCUGCUGGGGAAAAAAAGGAACUUGUGUGAUUUAUGUGCCAAGUAAACGAGGAUUCGAACCAAUAAGUAGUGAUGAUACUUACAAGAGCUCCAGUUGCCACUUUCAAGCAGAUGCAUUUUUCUCUUCUUCGAGUAUGGCAGCCUCUCUAAGUGCGAUUUGUGCCUCGUUUUCCCUUCCCAAUGUGAAAAGAGAAGCAGCUUGCAGAUAUGAUGCAAUAUGCCAAACAGGAGAUAUCACUUGUGCUUGUACUGUAUCAUUGAGAGCUUCUCGUGGCAUAUCAUUCAUGAGAUAAGACAGACAACGACGAACAAACACAGUUGGUGAGGCCAUGGCUCCAACGUCAAUGAACUGCAAGAGCAAGCAAAGUAAUAGAUAACGAAAUAGUUCAACAAUAGAAUAGAUCCACAUUGCACAGUAGUGUGUAACAUAAGCAGUCAUGACAGGUUACCAGUUACGCCAAGGUUCCCCUUCGGAAAGGGGGAAGCCAGAUAGCUUAGGAAUAUACAUGCCGGUUUAGAAGAGGAUAGUGGAUUUCUAACCUGCGUAUAGCAUUCAAUGGCAGCACUAAAAUCUUUAUUUUUGAAAGCAACAUCACCCUUUUUCUUUGAGUUCAACGUUUCCAGCAUCUGAUCUGUCCACAUCUGAAAUGAAAGCUGCAAGCAAGAAAAAGAAGUGUGAUCAUCAUGAGAUUCUUAUAAAAUUGGGUUUCAAAGACAAACUGGAUAUGAUUACAAUACGAAUGAGCAAUAAGUUGAAACCCAUGAAUCACAUGCAUGACGCAGAACCGGACAAUAAGUGUUCACAUGGAAUAGGUUAUAGAUGUUCAAAAACAUGCAUAUACAAGACCAGAAAGAAAACAGAUUAUUCUUUCUUUCAUGCAGUGACAACUCCAAACGUCAUACAUCUGCGGCCUACCUACCACUUAAGUGGCACCAAUGAGAUCCAGUAAGAAAGCGUCGUGGCUCUUCCACUCCGCAUCAAUCUUAUAAACUGAAGACUCAUUUCAAUUUGUUUGUAUGAUUUUGAAAAAGUAUGAAGUUGUUAAAAGAGUCACUAAAAGGGGAAAGAGAAGUAUAUUUUGAAACAAACAAAAGAAGAAAGUAGACAAACAAAUUGAAACAAAGAAAUACUAAUCAUUAAGAGAAGAUUUUGAGUUCGAUCUUGAGGAUAAAAUCGCUCUUAGUAAAGAGCGUUAAGCCCCAAAGUGGAACUUCCCAGCACGAACUCUAAUGAGUAAUGAGUAAGGUUCCAAAGCAGAUACCUAACACAUUAUGCAACAAUAACAAACCUCGUGCAACCCCACAAGUAGAGUCUAGAGAGGGUAGUGGUGUGUACAGUCUUAAACAUUAUGGGAUACAAAAAGGCUACUUGGAUAACAUUUGUCUAGUCUAGUUAGUUUAUCCUCAAGUUUAGCUCUGCAAAGAUAAAUAAGCUAUAAGAUAUCAGAGCUUGCAAAUUAAAAGGGCUAUCUUCAAAAAGCAAAAAAGAUCUGUUCCACUAAUAAUACAAAAAGAAGUUGGAGAGAAAAAUUCCUUGCAGGUUUCAAAAAUUUAUCUUCACAGCAGUAAGAGAGUUGCAGCAACAAACCCAUCGAAGAAUUAUUGUUUCCUUCCUCUUCCUUUCUUAGGUGCUUGUGCCUCCAUCUGUUCUUUGCCACCCACUUCAGAUAUAUCAGCUGCAACGAAAAGAACUUGCAGAGCAUUACAUUGACUGGAGCAUCAGGGAGAUGCAACUAUGCAAGUAUCGAAUAAAACUUCUUAGGAAUCAAUACAAGCAAAGAUAGAAGCAUGUCUAACAAGGUACAUGCCGAGUAAUUAGUAAAGAUUAGAUUGUCAUUGGAUGUUACUUAUACCAAACAAACAAGGUACCAUGUGAAGAAAGUUUGAAAAAGUAAUACCGUCUGGACCACGAGACAUCAAGGUAAAAAAAAUGUUGUUAAGUUUCUCCAUCUUCUUGGCAUCUUGGGCUUGGUCAGUCUUAAACUUGAUACACUAGCAAGGAAUUAAAAAUACAAACCAUUAGAACAGGCAAUCAAUAUGGAAAAUUCUCUGACAUACUCCCAUCAAGCAUGGGAUACAGGAUACAUUAUAUACCAAAUGUCUAAAAAGGAACUAUAUAACAGAGCUACAGAAGUCCACAGUUAUGAGCUACCAAAUGCAUAAAAGGGAAAUAUUACAUAGAGGAGCAGCAAAUGUUCCUCUUUUCAUUCACGCGAAAACAACAAGAGAAACCAACAUUUGAUGCAAAGACUGAAUAACAACUAUAUUCAACACCGUGAAGAAAUAACAAUGUCUGUAGAGCUAAAGGUAGAGAAGGGAGGGCUCAACUGACGCCUCUUCGCUUGAAAAUUUUACUAUGCAAGUACGGUGGGUAGUGAAGUUAAGGACAAGAGGAGAAAAAAAGAAGAGUGAAACUCACUUGAGAUAACAUGUAUGGAUAUCACUGAUAUAAUAUCUAAUACAAAAACAAAUUAUAAAAUCAUCACGUUGUCCUUCAUUUAACCCGAAAACAUGCAAACACACGCUCUACAUAAUAGACAUUACUUGAAGGUCUGUUUACAAGAAAGAUGAUUACAUCACCAAACUCCACAGGGGAAAGGGCGUAUGGCAACACACGCCACCUAUUUCAACACUUUAUCACAUACCUAUCAGUGAUGCUGCUAUGAUUCCAUACCCUUUUUUGGGUUGGGUUGGGUUUUGGGGGAGGGGGCUGAAAGGUAGGAAUAGGAAGGGGCACUAAUUGACUCUUUCUAGUUUCAGCACAGAGGAAGUGGAAGGUGAUCGAUCGUAUUUUCUCCAUUCAAUGACCACUUCACUAUCAGAAUUAUACAAGCCAACUCAAACAUUUUGAAACCAAAAUAAAACACAAUUAUUUUAGGACUAUCCUCCAUUACUUUUCCAUGAGAGGUACUUGUAACUUUAGAAUAUGGGUACCAUCACAGUUUCUGGCAGAAUGUCCAGUCACCCAAGUAAACUGCAAAAGAGCUGAGGUAUGUUCUAAUGUUCAAACAUAGGAGAACCAAAAGAAAUAAGGUUCACCACAAGCUAGGUAAUAUGAGAAAAAUAAAAAUAUGUUGAGGGAAAAAGGACAAUGGAGAGGCCCCAGCGAUUUGAGAAAUGGCAAAGGUAGCACAAUGAGGGACGUGUAGCGCACGUCCCAAGUUUGAAUCCUGUUGUGGACCAAGUCUGGUAAAAGGACUGACUCAUUAUCCAUCUGAGUUUCGAAGAUGGAAACUACAAGAUUUCUUGGAUAUUUAAAAAACCAUAGGGAGAGCUGAACCAUAGAAAAUAUGAGAGAAAGGAAAAGCAUGGUAGGUACAGCAUCAAGGAUCUUAAAUGUGCCCUCUACUGAAGUUUAGGCAGACAUAUGAAGCCUAGAUGAGAUUCCACCAAAAUAUCUGGACAAUUCUAAAUUUGUGAUUAGAGAACAAAGAAAAUUGGCUAAGUCAUCGACUAUCCUAAGAAGCUUCACAAAAAGUAAGCUUAAAAGCCAUCCCCUAGUAAUCUCAAAGAGGCAAAAGAUGAUAAACAGGUCAUCUGAUAAAACAGAUCACCUUGUCUGUCUGUCUCUAUCCUUCGACUCCACACUUCCCCUUCCUUUCUCCCUACCUUAAAAGGCUAAACAUUUUCUUUUACUACUAAAUCUUUAACCCUCUUUGCCUUUUCACCAGAAGAAUCAACUUCAAGAACAUCCAAACAAAAGCAUGUACAUGAUAUAAGUUUUUAACUUUAAGAAAGAGAAAUAUUUGCUAUUGUAAUUAUAGCAGAAUGUGGUCCAACAAUGAUACUAUCCAUUUGAGAAACAACAAAAAAUAUCAUCUGGGUUACUAUAAUGUUUUGGCCCGCUCAGGUACAAGGAUUGCAGAUGACUCCACUUUUUAGACCAUAAAAGCUUUUCUCGAGAUGCUCUCUAAUUGUUGGCAUCAUUGCACCAAAGUCGUGUCUUCUUUAGGAGUUCAACUAGUUGGUUCCACAAUCCUUGGUCAUAAAGGAAAGAAAAGACUUCUUUUAAAAUCAAACAUAACCAGACAUCCUCUUAAUCAAUUCUUUCCAUGUACUUCUCAGCUAAGCAGUGUUCUCAUCUGAUUCUCACUUUAACUCUUCCCCGACAUUGAAUCUCUUUAGAGUUCUACCUUAUAAAUAUAACAGUUGUCGGAAUUCUAACAACUUAUACACCACAGGAGAAAUAGCAAUUAAGAAAAUGAACAUGAAAUGAGUGUAACAUGUGGUAAGGAGAAAAAGAAAAUAGUGCAUAUGAAAUACUAACAGACACAGAACAAGAAAUCUCUUACUCAUUACUUCACAUAUAAGCAAAAAAUAACACUAAGAUAUGACAUCAAGCAUGACUUGGAUAUCUACCAUCUCCCCUUAAAGAAUGUCAACUUCCACUAUGGAAUGCAAAAACACUCAUCUCAGCCCACUAAAAAAACUACUACAAUAUAGACCAAACACCUCAGCCAACCAGGUUUAAAGCUACCCUGCUUCCACAUAAAACAAGAACAACAACGACGCCUCAGUCCCUAGCAACAACAUUGCUUCAUUAAGCACAUCUUAGACCCAUAUUAUACAAAAAUAAUAGUGGUAUUAUUUAAUCACUCUCCUGAUAGAACAUGACAUUUAAAAACAUGUCAAUUUGAGCCACAUCAAGUUUAUGCAACCAAAAUAUUUAUCAGAGCCUCCCCAAAAUAUGAACAUCUUCCCUCAAUGAGUUUAUUGUAGCCACAAAACAAACAUAUUAUGCUUGAUCUAAUUGUUAUUACAUCAUCUGUAUCAAUAUGACAAAUAGCAUCGUCAGUUGACUCAAUUGCAUCGAUUACAUCCCAUAAAUAUAAAAUUAAGUUGAUUUUGAUCAUCAAAACUUAACAGAAGCUGGUCAGUUCUUCAUUAUGAAGAUUGUGAAUUGUACUGCCAAUCUCAUGUCGGAUUGCGGUUUUAUCACACACACACCAGUAGGAUUCAUCAGAGAACAACAACAAAAGGAACCCAAACAUUUGCACUAAAUUGCAAUGCAGAGAUAGAAAAGACUAACUGAACUCAACCAAAAAAGAUAGAAAUAAUAAAAGUUCAAUUCAGCAACCCAUGUAUACAAAAGUUUCAAUUGCAUCAAUUACAUCCCCAAAUAUGAAACAUGUUGAUUUCGAACUUCAAAACUUAAGAGAAGCUUAUCAUUACUUCUUUAUAGAACCUGUGAACAUCAUUGUACUAUCAAUUUCGUGUGAUUGUACCUUCCCCCCCCCCCCCCCACACACACACACACACACACCAGCAGGAUCCAAGAUAUAACAACAAUAAAAGAAACCCCAGCACUUGCACUAAAUGGUAAUGCAGAUAUAGAAAUAGCAGUAACAAAAACAAUCAAAACUCAACUUAGCAUCCAUGUAUGCACAAUCUACUAAUAAAAUCGCAAAACUGUAGCUAAAAAUCAUAAGAAACAUAAAAAAAAAAAGUUACCUCUUUAUCAUCAGUGACCUUGAGAACCAAUUUACCAUCAGAAUGUCUGUAUUUCAUCACAUAGCGAGUCUAUAAACCAAAAAAAAUACCAUCAAUACAUGAAUUUAUACGAAAAAAAACAAAUGAUGAACUCAUCGGAGUCAAACAACACUUACUUUCUCGGGAUCGGCGCGAAACAACUGUACGGAUCUCUCAACAAAAUCAUCCCAGGAAGUGAUAUACACCAUUCUUCUUCUCUCUGUAUCUGCUAUAUAUAAAUAUAUGUAUAUAUAACUGCUAAUCGAGCGUUCUCUCGGUGACUGUUGACGCCGGAGCUAAAUUCAGUGGCCGGCCGGCGAGGUUUUCAAUUUUUGCUCCUUAGGGGGUUUGAAAAGUCUUUUAUUG
This 6838-nucleotide long non-coding RNA is filed under the name Solanum lycopersicum (tomato). Its description in RNAcentral is "long non-coding RNA (SLYC_LNC001087)". Lineage: Eukaryota; Viridiplantae; Streptophyta; Magnoliopsida; Solanales; Solanaceae. The record is from RNAcentral.